CAGAACGAACGCUGGCGGCGUGCUUAACACAUGCAAGUCGAACGCGAAAGGGACUUCGGUCCUGAGUAAAGUGGCGCACGGGUGAGUAACGCGUAGAUAACCUGUCUUCAUGUCUGGAAUAAUACGCCGAAAGGGGUACUAAUACCGGAUAUUCUUGCUUUUCAUAAGUUAUGCAAGCAAAGGUGGCCUCUGCAUAUGCUACUGCAUGAAGAGGGGUCUGCGUACCAUUAGCUAGUAGGUGGGGUAAUGGCCUACCUAGGCGACGAUGGUUAGCGGGUCUGAGAGGAUGAUCCGCCACACUGGCACUGGAACACGGGCCAGACUCCUACGGGAGGCAGCAGUGAGGAAUAUUGCACAAUGGGGGAAACCCUGACGCAGCGACGCCGCGUGAAGUGAGGAAGGCCUUCGGGUCGUAAAGCUCUGUCAAGAGGAAAGAAGUGUACAAUGGCUAAUACCUGUUGUAUUUGACGGUACCUCUAAAGGAAGCACCGGCUAACUCCGUGCCAGCCGCCGC
Molecule: ribosomal RNA, 514 nt
Filed under: uncultured bacterium
Lineage: Bacteria
Description: bacterial SSU rRNA
Rfam family: Bacterial small subunit ribosomal RNA
Source: RNAcentral